Cheilinus undulatus (humphead wrasse) is the source of this 2892-nucleotide long non-coding RNA. RefSeq lists it as uncharacterized. Lineage: Eukaryota; Metazoa; Chordata; Actinopteri; Labriformes; Labridae. The record is from RefSeq and is a predicted model, not a curated record. The transcript has 4 exons.
CUCGCCAGGUGUUGGAGCUGUCAAGUAAUUAACCUAACGGUUUCUACCAAACUCCAUGUACCUGGGUUUAUUUUCUAACCCAUAACGGAUGAAACUCGGUUCAAAGAGGAUUUGAUGAUUUUCUCCUCCCAACUUCGCGGUAGUUCCUUCACUCCAGGAGGAGGAGAAGUACUGUGAAACAAAGAUGACUCCCACCUCUCCACUGGGUCCCUGAGCAUGACGAUGAAGCGGGCGUCAGGCUGCAGGGCAUGCACAAAGUCCUGGAUGAGAAAAGGAGGCUCUCCUUCUGUGGUGUUGUCAUAGAAAUACACCCAGGCAUUGUUAUCCCACAUGGUGGACGCGCUGGCUUCUCCUGCAGAACACACAGCCCACUGAGACAUCCUUGGCAGGGUUGGAUGGAGGAGGAAUACCUAUUGUCCCAAUCAGACACGACAUCAUAGAGUCUACAUUGCUUUUGCAGAUUUAACCAUUCAAGGGAGACGCUGUAAUAGGGCAAACAAACGGCGGAGCCAGACCGGCGUGCCUCUGGUGUUGGCCGGCGGUUGAAGAGAGUCAGAAGCCGAGAUCCUGGCCACAGGCCUGCACCUUGCUGCGCUCUCUCAGGGCAUGGUGGGAAUACUGAGUGGAGUUUUGGCACACUCCCCCAACUCUUGCAAAGAUUAUUUAUUUUAAGAAGGAAACAAAACAGGGCGGCAUGCUAAGCUGCACUCAAUACAGCAACUCAAAACCAGCAUGAAAAGGCUUUUGUUGGAAAUCAGUUUUUUUUUGCAGCUGAACAGUUCUUCUCAAGGUUUUGUUUGACAACAGGGACAGAAAGAGAAGGAUACAAGGAAGUGGCUGAAAAUACAGGUAUAAUUUGACAGUAAAUGCAAAAUAUCUUGACUUUAAGUUAGGUUUACAACUUUAAACAUAGAGUCUCUUAUGUAGAUCAGAGCACGAUACAUUUCUGUCAGGAUCACUUAGUCAAGAAACACACAUAGUUUGCAGUUACAUUUUCAGAUGCAGAAUAAAAGAGGAGAUAGGGUGGAGGAGGGUUGCAAAAGCAGCUUGCAGAGGGAGAACCAAAGAGAAUGCAUGCCAGAGAAGCUUAAAUAUGGCAGUAGGAGUGCAUUUAGCCAAUAGGGAGCUUAGCCUGAAUCAGCUGGCUCCAUUGAUGAGGGCUUGCAUGAGAUCAGCUGAUCUCAAUGAAAUUGCAGAACUUGACACCAUGGCCUGCCUGAUCAAAACUAUAUGCUCAAUUUCAGCUAAAUUUCAUGAAUUUCCUACACGUUUCAGGAGCUGAUUGAGCCACCUUGCCAUGGCUGUUCACAAAAUUAGACCAAUCUUGUAAUUUCCUAGUGGGGUCAUGUCUAACAAAUUACUCAACUGUAUGCAUAUUUUAAAACCCUUAGAAAACAACGUCCUUUUACAAGGCUAACAAUACUUUUACAACGGCACUGGUUUAAUGCAAACGGUAAUGAGGCUUGUAAGGGUGUAUGCAAGGACAACAGAUGUGAGGGACUGGUAAACUCAGUGAUACAUUGUCAUCCGUCCCACUGGUCAGCACCAGAAUUACCUGUUAGUUAAAGAUGUAUUAUUACUUUUAUAAAUACUGGCCCACAACGCCAGGCAAAUGCAAAGCACGCUAUGCAGCUGGUCCAUAGUGGGCUUAUGCUUUGGUUGAUGAUUUCUGCCAUAUUGCUAUUGCAGGUCUACUACUGAGGCAGAAACCAGCAUCAGGAUGGAUGGCUUCUCAGAGGGCAGUAUCGCAAUAUUUCGAUUGGGUAUGCGUGUGGGUAGCUGACUAAUGGUUAUAUUUGUAUAUUGAAUUAGCUGAUGCAUGAUUUACAAGUUUGUUGGACUAAUUACCUAUCGUUUUUUUAAAAACAUCAGCCUGAAAUCCCAUUUAAAUGUUCUUUAAAAACUGUCAUGAAGCCUCCCUUUACUGGCAGUCGCUGUGACUUCAGUUAAUGGCCGCUGCCUUCCUGACAGAGCUUAGCAGUUUGCAUUUCAUUGGAACAAUGCAGUUUGACAGUUUUUGUAAAACUGAAAAAUGGAAAGUUGUAUGUAGGCUGUCGAAGGUUAUACUCAUGUAUAACUACUCCACAAAAAUGAAAAAAGGCCAACUAUCAAAGCAUGAUAUUGUUCUGCAAGAGUAACGGAGGUUGGUGGAGCUAGUUGCUAAUUUUAACCACGCUCUACACAGCAUAUCCGGCACAUCAUACCUAUUGACACAAAGACCACUUGAUGAAUUUGAUUGUUUUCUAGACUAGUCUAGACUAGUCAGUUAAAUGCAAUUUAAAUGGCAUUUAGCUGAAUAGGGAAAGAAAUGCUUUGAAACAUCCUUAAAUUUGAUGCAGAACCAAAGCAGGUAUUUCUGGCAGAACUUCACCAACUUCCAAGGCAAACAGCACUAUAAGUUUAAAGAAGAACUUUAUUAGACUGAUGAAUUUUAGCUUCGGCCUUCAAUAGGGUCAUGUUUAACUGGUGGAAAGGCCAAAGGGUGGCAAUGCAGUUGCCACUACCUUUAGCUUAACUAAGCAAACCAAUUUGGUAUUGUUUAACUGCAGACACUGCAAGCCUGUUUUAGCCAUGUAACUGUUAAUAAACAUUAACAUUACAUUUUUCUCUUUUUUGUCUCUCCUCUUUCUAGACAAGUAGAGAAGUUCCAGUUUAAAUUUGCAUUAAUCAACUAUAAAAUUAGUCAUCUAGGAACUUCUCAUUACAGCAAUAGGAUAGGUUUGGAUGAAACACCCCCACCUCCACUGCAGAUAUUAUUGCCCAGAAACAAAUAACACCAGUAAUUCUUUUUCUGCAGCACUUCAAUAAAGUGUCCGUAAGUGAAGCAGAGGGAGAUCCAGUGUUAUUAAGCUGUUCCAGCCUCUCUUUAGGGUUGAGUCACAGUCAGCUCUG